Molecule: long non-coding RNA, 212 nt
Organism: Etheostoma cragini (Arkansas darter)
Lineage: Eukaryota; Metazoa; Chordata; Actinopteri; Perciformes; Percidae
Exons: 2
Source: RefSeq, a predicted model, not a curated record
CAGCAGGCCUCCUAAGAGUCUCUGGUUGGACUCCAGAGAGAGGCCAUGAAGGAAGCGGACAAACAGGUCCAGGUGGCCAUUUUUACUCCUCAGGGAUUUCUCCAUGGCUCUCUUCAGGAAGACAUCCAGGGAUGGUCUUCUCCCAGGAAGUCCUUGAGUACCUGUGUGUUCCUGUUGGUGUAACAGUGGAACAGGUAGACUGCAGCCAGAAA